AUUGAACGCUGGCGGCAGGCCUAACACAUGCAAGUCGAGCGGAUGAAGGGAGCUUGCUCCUGGAUUCAGCGGCGGACGGGUGAGUAAUGCCUAGGAAUCUGCCUGGUAGUGGGGGAUAACGUCCGGAAACGGGCGCUAAUACCGCAUACGUCCUGAGGGAGAAAGUGGGGGAUCUUCGGACCUCACGCUAUCAGAUGAGCCUAGGUCGGAUUAGCUAGUUGGUGGGGUAAAGGCCUACCAAGGCGACGAUCCGUAACUGGUCUGAGAGGAUGAUCAGUCACACUGGAACUGAGACACGGUCCAGACUCCUACGGGUGGCGGCAGUGGGGAAUAUUGGACAAUGGGCGAAAGCCUGAUCCAGCCAUGCCGCGUGUGUGAAGAAGGUCUUCGGAUUGUAAAGCACUUUAAGUUGGGAGGAAGGGCAGUAAGUUAAUACCUUGCUGUUUUGACGUUACCAACAGAAUAAGCACCGGCUAACUUCGUG
RNAcentral lists this ribosomal RNA (484 nucleotides) under uncultured bacterium. RNAcentral's name for it is "partial 16S ribosomal RNA". It matches the Rfam family "Bacterial small subunit ribosomal RNA", at positions 30 to 507 of the family's 1533-position model. The record is from RNAcentral.